RNAcentral lists this ribosomal RNA (719 nucleotides) under uncultured bacterium. RNAcentral's name for it is "bacterial SSU rRNA". It matches the Rfam family "Bacterial small subunit ribosomal RNA", at positions 777 to 1500 of the family's 1533-position model. The record is from RNAcentral.
AUUAGAUACCCUGGGUAGUCCACGCAGUAAACGAUGAAUGCUAAUUGUCCCGUUAAGGAUGACCUCUGGGUGAUACAGCGAAAGCGUUAAGCAUUCCACCUGGGGAGUACGCCGGCAACGGUGAAACUCAAAGGAAUUGACGGGGGCCCGCACAAGCGGAGGAACAUGUGGUUUAAUUCGAUGAUACGCGAGGAACCUUACCCGGGCUCAAACGCACGUUGACCGUCUGUGAAAGCAGAUUUUCCUUUCGGGGACAGUGUGCGAGGUGCUGCAUGGUUGUCGUCAGCUCGUGCCGUGAGGUGUCGGUUUAAGUGCCAUAACGAGCGCAACCCCUAUCGACAGUUGCUAACAGGUCAAGCUGAGGACUCUGUCGAGACUGCCGGCGCAAGCUGCGAGGAAGGCGGGGAUGACGUCAAAUCAGCACGGCCCUUACGUCCGGGGCGACACACGUGUUACAAUGGCAGGUACAGCGGGAAGCCACCUGGCGACAGGGAGCGGAACCCGAAAGCCUGUCUCAGUUCGGAUUGGAGUCUGCAACCCGACUCCAUGAAGCUGGAUUCGCUAGUAAUCGCGCAUCAGCCACGGCGCGGUGAAUACGUUCCCGGGCCUUGUACACACCGCCCGUCAAGCCAUGGAAGCCGGGAGUGCCUGAAGUACGUUACCGCAAGGAACGUCCUAGGGUAAAACCGGUGACUGGGGCUAAGUCGUAACAAGGUAAC